This 138-nucleotide unclassified non-coding RNA is filed under the name soil metagenome. Its description in RNAcentral is "partial internal transcribed spacer 1". The record is from RNAcentral.
CUGAGUACUACACUCUCUACCCUUUGUGAACUAUUAUACCUGUUGCUUCGGCGGCCGCCCGCGAGGGUGCCCGCCGGUCUCAUCAGAAUCUCUGUUUCGAACCCGACGAUACUUCUGAGUGUUCUUAGCGAACUGUCA